This 465-nucleotide ribosomal RNA is filed under the name uncultured bacterium. RNAcentral's name for it is "partial 16S ribosomal RNA". It matches the Rfam family "Bacterial small subunit ribosomal RNA", at positions 339 to 795 of the family's 1533-position model. The record is from RNAcentral.
CUACGGGCGGCAGCAGUGGGGAAUAUUGGACAAUGGGGGAAACCCUGAUCCAGCAAUGCCGCGUGUGUGAAGAAGGCCUGCGGGUUGUAAAGCACUUUCGGUUGGGAGGACUGCUUCUAGCACUAAUAUUGUUGGAAGUUGACGUUACCUUCAGAAGAAGCACCGGCUAACUCCGUGCCAGCAGCCGCGGUAAUACGGAGGGUGCAAGCGUUAAUCGGAAUUACUGGGCGUAAAGCGCGCGUAGGCGGCUAGAUCAGUCGGGUGUGAAAGCCCCGGGCUUAACCUGGGAACUGCAUCCGAUACUGUCUAGCUUGAGUACAGGAGAGGAGAGUGGAAUUCCACAUGUAGCGGUGAAAUGCGUAGAUAUGUGGAGGAACAACACUCGGGAAGGCAUCGGCCUCGCCUGAUGUUGAUGCGGAGGUGCGUACGCGUGGGGAGCAACCAGGAUUAGAUACCCUAGUAGUC